GAUGAACGCUGGCGGCGUGCCUAAUACAUGCAAGUCGAGCGAACAGACGAGGAGCUUGCUCCUCUGACGUUAGCGGCGGACGGGUGAGUAACACGUGGAUAACCUACCUAUAAGACUGGGAUAACUUCGGGAAACCGGAGCUAAUACCGGAUAAUAUAUUGAACCGCAUGGUUCAAUAGUGAAAGACGGUUUUGCUGUCACUUAUAGAUGGAUCCGCGCCGCAUUAGCUAGUUGGUAAGGUAACGGCUUACCAAGGCAACGAUGCGUAGCCGACCUGAGAGGGUGAUCGGCCACAUGGGAACUGAGACACGGUCCAGACUCCUACGGGAGGAAGCAGUAGGGAAUCUUCCGCAAUGGGCGAAAGCUUGACGGAGCAACGCCGCGGGAGUGAUGAAGGUCUUCGGAUCGUAAAACUCUGUUAUUAGGGAAGAACAAAUGUGUAAGUAACUAUGCACGUCUUGACGGUACCUAAUCAGAAAGCCACGGCUAACUACGUG
Molecule: ribosomal RNA, 497 nt
Filed under: uncultured bacterium
Lineage: Bacteria
Description: partial 16S ribosomal RNA
Rfam family: Bacterial small subunit ribosomal RNA
Source: RNAcentral